GAUGAACGCUGGCGGCGUGCCUAAUACAUGCGAGUCGAGCGAACAGACGAGGAGCUUGCUCCUCUGACGUUAGCGGCGGACGGGUGAGUAACACGUGGAUAACCUACCUAUAAGACUGGGAUAACUUCGGGAAACCGGAGCUAAUACCGGAUAAUAUAUUGAACCGCAUGGUUCAAUAGUGAAAGACGGUUUUGCUGUCACUUAUAGAUGGAUCCGCGCCGCAUUAGCUAGUUGGUAAGGUAACGGCUUACCAAGGCAACGAUGCGUGGCCGACCUGAGAGGGUGAUCGGCCACACUGGAACUGAGACACGGUCCAGACUCCUACGGGAGGCAGCAGUAGGGAAUCUUCCGCAAUGGGCGAAAGCCUGACGGAGCAACGCCGCGUGAGUGAUGAAGGUCUUCGGAUCGUAAAACUCUGUUAUUAGGGAAGAACAAAUGUGUAAGUAACUAUGCACGUCUUGACGGUACCUAAUCAGAAAGCCACGGCUAACUACGUG
This 497-nucleotide ribosomal RNA is filed under the name uncultured bacterium. RNAcentral's name for it is "partial 16S ribosomal RNA". It matches the Rfam family "Bacterial small subunit ribosomal RNA", at positions 28 to 507 of the family's 1533-position model. The record is from RNAcentral.